Non-coding RNA from Cyanistes caeruleus (blue tit), 1825 nucleotides. Lineage: Eukaryota; Metazoa; Chordata; Aves; Passeriformes; Paridae. The record is from RefSeq and is a predicted model, not a curated record.
GCCGCCGCCGGGCCCUCACGGAGCGGGCCGGGGCUCCGGUGGCCGCGGGAAGUGGCGGCGCUGCCUGCGCUGCUGUGGGAGCAGUGGGAUCGUUCCUGCACCGCCUGACCGAUCUGCACAGACCGCUGCCGCUACUGAGCGCGGCUGUUCCCUAUCGUUAUUGCUUUGAUGCUAGUUAGGAAGCUCUGGAGUACCCAUGAAAAGAAGAAUCUGUACUUCCCAAGAUAAUAUGGCCAGCCACUUCACAGUGAAACAAGGAAAAUCAAGGACUCCUGAAGCGGUGUCUUACUGAUGUAGAGUCUGACCAGAGUAUACCCAUCCUCUAUUGCCUGAAGGACCUGAGCUGUGAAACAUUCUCCAAACCAGCCUGCUAGACCUUGCAGUAACAAGGCAUACCUUCAGAUUUCCACUGUGUCCAAGCUAGAUUUGACCUGGUAUGAAUGCCGAGUGUCACAACCAACAGGCUGUUUGCUGGUUGUUUGGGGAUCAAACUCCUCCAAAGUACACUCAGGUAUUUUCACUCAUGGUGGAGCAGAUUUGACAAGUAAACGACUCAGUCUGCAACAGCAAACAGCCUUCCAAGGGGAAUCUCCUGGCAGGUGGUGGAUGGGUAUGACAUAACCAUAUCCCAAAUGUAUGUUCCUAACAACCAGACUACACAUUAAGCAAAUAGAACUUAUUCUCCUGCAGGUAGCUGUUAGAAAACACUGUUUUUAGUGCCAAUCUUAUGGCUGGGAUUUCUUAGCAGAGGCAUGGGAUUAAAUUAUAUUUUCUUAAGGUUUCUUCCUGGCCUUCUUAUGUAGCUUCCAGUCUGUAGGCUUUGUAUAUCCCACACUUCACUGGCUCCAAGGCAGCAUGUGAGAAACUCACAUUUCUGCACCUAGAAAAGGCAUCUUCAAAUUCUACAAAGCAUCACAGCAUGUAAAAAUGUGGUGAUGCCGUUUAUAGUACUCAAGCCUUCUGGGGGACCCAGGCGCAUGAAUAGUUUUCAUUCUUUAGGGAAAAUACCAUAAGGAUUCAGCUGUCCAGAACAGGUUUUCCAGUGUGGAAAAUGUGCAGGAAGGUGUCCAAGCUCCAAGUACGAUCAGAGUUUGAUGGUUUCUGGAUGGACCAUAAAGAAUAAGAGUUGCGUUUCAGUAUCUACCCUAUGCAGUCAGUGGGGAAAGGCCAUGGAUACCUCUAAAGAGCACACUGUCAGUGAUUUGUGUCUGAUCCUUCCCCUGUGGCAGUUCCAAGACUGGAAGCAACCUUUACAGUCAUCAAGCCUGUAUUUCACAUGGACACAGGACAUACAGAUCAAGGAUUAGGUUUUGUUGAAAGUAGGGAAGGCACUCCCUACAUUUCCAAAACAGUAUAAGAGAUCUGCCUUCUUGGAGCUGCAGCCUCUGCACAGCAUAUAACUACAUGCUAAAUAGAUUGGUUUUCCAAGACCAACAGCCUGACAGUAUUGGGUGCUUCAGCAGAGAAAUCUACAUGCCUGUUGCAUGGAAAUUAAAGGGGGAAAAUUAUUAUGGAUUUCAGUGGUUUGGGAUAUGACUGUCUCUAUUAAAACCUUUACUUAAAUAUACCCUUAACUGGUAGCAUGUAAGAAAUAAUUGAACAAGACAAUCCUGAGUAAUUCAUCAGUACCUCUAUUCUUUCCAGAGUUACACAUCAGCUAUUUACACAAUAUGAUUUGUUUUAAUUUUUUUAUUCAGCAUGUUUUAUGCAUUAGUAUCAGAAAAGCCUGUCUUUCUCUUGGCAAAUGUUGCUCCAAGUUGUCUAGCAGGGACAUGUAUUAUGUAAAUUUAUUUAUUCAGAAUGUAAUUUGCAUAAAUGAAAAAUG